CACCCUUGACUGAGGUUUCGGCCAAAUGAUAGGAAUGCUUAGUGGCGGACUGGUGAGUAACGCGUGAGGAACCUACCUUCCAGAGGGGGACAACAGUUGGAAACGACUGCUAAUACCGCAUGACGCAUGACCGGGGCAUCCCGGGCAUGUCAAAGAUUUUAUCGCUGGAAGAUGGCCUCGCGUCUGAUUAGCUAGAUGGUGGGGUAACGGCCCACCAUGGCGACGAUCAGUAGCCGGACUGAGAGGUUGACCGGCCACAUUGGGACUGAGAUACGGCCCAGACUCCUACGGGAGGCAGCAGUGGGGAAUAUUGGGCAAUGGACGCAAGUCUGACCCAGCAACGCCGCGUGAAGGAAGAAGGCUUUCGGGUUGUAAACUUCUUUUGUCAGGGAAGAGUAGAAGACGGUACCUGACGAAUAAGCCACGGCUAACUACGUGCCAGCAGCCGCGGUAAUACGUAGGUGGCAAGCGUUGUCCGGAUUUACUGGGUGUAAAGGGCGUGCAGCCGGGCCGGCAAGUCAGAUGUGAAAUCUGGAGGCUUAACCUCCAAACUGCAUUUGAAACUGUAGGUCUUGAGUACCGGAGAGGUUAUCGGAAUUCCUUGUGUAGCGGUGAAAUGCGUAGAUAUAAGGAAGAACACCAGUGGCGAAGGCGGAUAACUGGACGGCA
This 669-nucleotide ribosomal RNA is filed under the name uncultured bacterium. RNAcentral's name for it is "bacterial SSU rRNA". It matches the Rfam family "Bacterial small subunit ribosomal RNA", at positions 63 to 738 of the family's 1533-position model. The record is from RNAcentral.